AUUCAAACGAGCGUGCCUGCGAAUCAAACUGGCCCGUUGCCAAAAAACGCCUCUUUCGAAUUUCGCGCGUUCG
Molecule: non-coding RNA, 73 nt
Organism: Caenorhabditis elegans
Lineage: Eukaryota; Metazoa; Nematoda; Chromadorea; Rhabditida; Rhabditidae
Source: Ensembl